RNAcentral lists this ribosomal RNA (705 nucleotides) under Harpella melusinae. RNAcentral describes it as "eukaryotic LSU rRNA". It matches the Rfam family "Eukaryotic large subunit ribosomal RNA", at positions 38 to 630 of the family's 3401-position model. The record is from RNAcentral. Lineage: Eukaryota; Fungi; Kickxellomycota; Harpellomycetes; Harpellales; Harpellaceae.
GCAUAUCAAUAAGCGGAGGAAAAGAAACUAACAAGGAUUCCCCUAGUAACGGCGAGUGAAGCGGGAACAGCUCAAGCCUAAAAUCUGCAAGUUGUUUUUACAAUCUUGUCGAAUUGUAGCUUAUGGAAUCAGUUAUCGGCCUUGCGGCCCAGUAAAAGUUCUUUUGAAUAAGACAUCAAAGAGGGUGAAAAUCCCGUAUUUGACUGGGUUUAUGGGAUUUGUGAACUGUUUUCUUUGAGUCGGGUUGUUUGGAAAUGCAGCCCUAAUUAGGAGGUAAAUUUCUUCUAAAGCUAAAUAUAAGCAAGAGACCGAUAGCAUACAAGUACCGUGAGGGAAAGAUGAAAAGCACUUUGAAAAGAGAGUGAAAAGUACGUGAAAUUGUUGAAAGGGAACCGGUUGGUAGCUAAGCAUCCGCAGUUGGGAGGGUAGCUUUUCGGAGUUGCACUUUUGGCGAGUGGGGGGUCAACAUCGGUUGGUAUUGCCUGAAAGGAGAAUUUACCUGUUAGCCAAGGUAAGGUAGAGUAGUUGGUGGCCAAUACGAAUUUCGGUUUGUGUUGGAAUCACGCUGAUUGCUUGGUAUAGACUUUCAUUUGCACGUUAUGAACCCUUUGGGGUGGUAGCGACCCGAGGUAAAUUCACAAGUGUGGGUUAGCAGUUUCGGAUUGUUGGCACUUGGGUGAAUUUUUUGUGGGUAUUGGUAUUGGC